UACAGAGGAUGCAAGCGUUAUCCGGAAUUAUUGGGCGUAAAGCGUCUGUAGGUGGCUUUUUAAGUCCGCUGUCAAAUCCCAGGGCUCAACUCUGGACAGGCGGUGGAAACUACCAAGCUGGAGUACGAUAGGGGCAGAGGGAAUUUCCGGUGGAGCGGUGAAAUGCGUAGAGAUCGGAAAGAACACCAACGGCGAAAGCACUCUGCUGGGCCGACACUGACACUGAGGAGCGAAAGCUAGGGGAGCGAAUGGG
Molecule: ribosomal RNA, 253 nt
Filed under: uncultured bacterium
Lineage: Bacteria
Description: partial 16S ribosomal RNA
Rfam family: Bacterial small subunit ribosomal RNA
Source: RNAcentral